RNAcentral lists this ribosomal RNA (472 nucleotides) under uncultured bacterium. Its description in RNAcentral is "bacterial SSU rRNA". It matches the Rfam family "Bacterial small subunit ribosomal RNA", at positions 328 to 793 of the family's 1533-position model. The record is from RNAcentral.
GCAGUGCACUCCUACGGGAGGCAGCAGUGGGGAAUAUUGCACAAUGGGCGCAAGCCUGAUGCAGCCAUGCCGCGUGUAUGAAGAAGGCCUUCGGGUUGUAAAGUACUUUCAGCAGUGAGGAAGGUGGGUAUGUUAAUAGCAUAUUCAUUUGACGUUAGCUGCAGAAGAAGCACCGGCUAACUCCGUGCCAGCAGCCGCGGUAAUACGGAGGGUGCGAGCGUUAAUCGGAAUUACUGGGCGUAAAGCGCAUGCAGGUGGUUUGUUAAGUCAGAUGUGAAAGCCCGGGGCUCAACCUCGGAAUUGCAUUUGAAACUGGCAAACUAGAGUACUGUAGAGGGGGUAGAAUUUCAGGUGUAGCGGUGAAAUGCGUAGAGAUCUGAAGGAAUACCGGUGGCGAAGGCGGCCCCCUGGACAGAUACUGACACUCAGAUGCGAAAGCGUGGGGAGCAAACAGGAUUAGAUACCCUGGUAG